This 574-nucleotide non-coding RNA is filed under the name Pan troglodytes (chimpanzee). The record is from RNAcentral. Lineage: Eukaryota; Metazoa; Chordata; Mammalia; Primates; Hominidae.
GCAGGUGCUAGGCGGGGCCAGCAGUGGGCGUGGUCUUUCCGGGCCCGGGAUUGGUGAAGGCUCCGGGGCUGACGAGGCGAGGCCGGAGCCCUCCCCAGUUUCCUGCUAUCCCGAGCCGGGCGGCUCGCCCAGGAUACGGAGCCCGGCGGUCACGGGGGAGAAGGUAGCUGUCGGGCAUUCCCCUGGCGCUGAAGGGCAGAUUGCUUUUGAAAGCUCUAAAUUUAUUCAGCUUAUACUGAAAGGAAAUGAAGUCUAUGUCCAAAUAGGAACCAAUGUGGUUCCUGCUGUGCUGUGCCUUCAUUACCUGAGACUACAGCAGCCUGCAUUCUCCACCGGGCUCGGAGGAGUGCAGAUGCCUGAGCUAUGCAGUGUGAUUCAACAAUUCCAGUUGGACGGAAAAUACAGCUGUCUUUUUCACGGAGUUGAAGUCAAAUCUACGUGCAGCUUUUUUUACCUACAAAUAAUGGACAAGCUCCUGAAUCCAACAUAUUCUAGCUGAAACGGAUCCCAGGACGGAAUGCUGGAGAGAUGCGUAUUCCAGCUACAGGCCCUUAGAGCUCAGUGGUCAGUAAAC